GAAAAUCCGUCGACUU
This 16-nucleotide transfer RNA is filed under the name Musa balbisiana (Balbis banana). RNAcentral's name for it is "partial tRNA-Leu". The record is from RNAcentral. Lineage: Eukaryota; Viridiplantae; Streptophyta; Magnoliopsida; Zingiberales; Musaceae.